Molecule: long non-coding RNA, 213 nt
Filed under: Lathyrus oleraceus (garden pea)
Lineage: Eukaryota; Viridiplantae; Streptophyta; Magnoliopsida; Fabales; Fabaceae
Description: Pisum sativum (pea) long non-coding RNA (PSAT_LNC017179)
Source: RNAcentral
GGAUUUACAAAAAUGAUAAAGUCAAGGAGAAGGAAAUGUUUCGGAAAAAAAAAUCAAGUAAUAAAUUGUGAUUGUGAUAAAAAAAAGUAAAGGAGUCUACUUUGACAAUUAAAAAAAAGAAAGAAAAAAACAUAAAAAAUGUUUGAGUUUACACAAAAAGAUAAAUCACCAAAAGAAGAAGUUGUAAAGUGAAAAAGAAAAGAGAUAUUGGAA